GCUCAGGACGAACGCUGGCGGCGUGCCUAACACAUGCAAGUCGAGCGAAGUUUUCAAAGUAGAUUUCUUCGGAAUGAAAUCUUGAUUAUCUUAGCGGCGGACGGGUGAGUAACGCGUGAGAAACCUGCCUUUCACAAAGGGAUAGCCUCGGGAAACUGGGAUUAAUACCUUAUGAUACUAAUUCUUCGCAUGGAGAAUUAGUCAAAGCGCAAAGCGGUGAAAGAUGGUCUCGCGUCCCAUUAGUUAGUUGGUGAGGUAAUGGCUCACCAAGACCGCGAUGGGUAGCCGGCCUGAGAGGGUGAACGGCCACACUGGAACUGAGACACGGUCCAGACUCCUACGGGAGGCAGCAGUGGGGAAUAUUGCACAAUGGAGGAAACUCUGAUGCAGCGACGCCGCGUGAACGAUGAAGGCCUUCGGGUCGUAAAGUUCUGUCCUAGGGGACGAUAGUGACGGUACCCUAGGAGGAAGCCCCGGCUAACUACGUGCCAGCAGCCGCGGUAAUACGUAGGGGGCAAGCGUUGUCCGGAUUUAUUGGGCGUAAAGGGUGCGUAGGCGGCCUUUUAAGUCAGAUGUGAAAGGUCACGGCUCAACCGUGGUAAGCAUUUGAAACUGAAAGGCUUGAGUUAAGGAGAGGAAAGUGGAAUUCCUAGUGUAGCGGUGAAAUGCGUAGAUACUAGGAGGAACACCAGCGGCGAAGGCGGCUUCCUGGCCUAUUACUGACGCUGAUGCGCGAAAGCGUGGGGAGCAAACAGGAUUAGAUACCCUGGUAGUCCACGCCGUAAACGAUGGGUGCUAGGUGUGGGAGGUAUCGACCCCUUCCGUGCCAUAGUUAACGCAAUAAGCACCCCGCCUGGGGAGUACGGUCGCAAGACUGAAACUCAAAGGAAUUGACGGGGGCCCGCACAAGCAGCGGAGCGUGUGGUUUAAUUCGACGCAACGCGAAGAACCUUACCAAGGCUUGACAUCCCUCGCAAUCUGUAGAGAUAUAGAGUUCCCUUCGGGGACGAGGAGACAGGUGGUGCACGGUUGUCGUCAGCUCGUGUCGUGAGAUGUUGGGUUAAGUCCCGCAACGAGCGCAACCCUUGUACUUAGUUGCCAUCAUUAAGUUGGGCACUCUAAGUAGACUGCCGGUGACAAACCGGAGGAAGGUGGGGAUGACGUCAAAUCAUCAUGCCCCUUAUGUCUUGGGCUACACACGCGCUACAAUGGUCUGUACAGAGGGCAGCGACACCGCGAGGUGAAGCGAAUCCCAUAAAACAGAUCUCAGUUCGGAUUGCAGGCUGCAACUCGCCUGCAUGAAGUCGGAGUUGCUAGUAAUCGCGGAUCAGAACGCCGCGGUGAAUGCGUUCCCGGGCCUUGUACACACCGCCCGUCACACCACGAAAGUUGGUAACACCCGAAGUCGGUGAGCAAAACGCAGCCGCCGAAGGUGGGACUAAUGAUUGGGGUGAAGUCGUAACAAGGUAACCGUA
RNAcentral lists this ribosomal RNA (1475 nucleotides) under uncultured bacterium. Its description in RNAcentral is "16S ribosomal RNA". It matches the Rfam family "Bacterial small subunit ribosomal RNA". The record is from RNAcentral.